UUCCUUCCUAGCUUUGUCCUUAACCUAUAUAAAGCUUAAGAUGUAUGCAAGGUGAUAUCAUGUCCACUGAAAUAAGGUAUGGACAUUACACACAGAUUCAACAUUAGGUGAAGUUCUAUAGGUACUAACAAAAUCUGCCAGGAUUCCUGUACAAUGGCAUCCUUCUCGCACUAAUUUCCAUUUCUUACACACAUUUCUCUGACUUUCCUUUAGCAUUCCAGGAAAUAUGUAGCUGCAAAAAUAUGAGAUCCUAACCAUCAUCAGACUUUUAAAUCCAAGAGGUUUUGCAGCAUUCCUGGAGGCUUGUGUUCUGGACACAUGCAACAGCUGCAAAACUCAGUUCUUCACACUAGCAGUAGCAGGCUUCGACAUUCAGGGAAAAAACAUCCCUGAUCUGGUGAAAAUUUUCCCACAAAACCUAACAACAAACCUAUCACAGGACUUAAGACUGAGUCACCACCACAGCCUCACUCACCACACUCCUCUGGGUUCUCAUCUGAUUGGUCAUCACAGUCUGGCUCUCCAUCACACUUCCAGCGCUCAGGGAUGCACUUGCCGCUGUUGCACCGAAGUUCCGUCUUGUAGCAUGGCUUGGCUGGGGAGAGAAGACAAGGACAAGACUACAAGGGAGAGGAGGAUUCGCACUUUCCCUCCCCAUCACCACACGCUGAUUGGCUCGCUACAUCCCCCGGUUGACCAAUCAGCUUGCCUCUCCACUCCUUCCCCUAAACUGAACAUCUCUGAAAAAAUAGAACCGGGGCCUCAGAAACGUUAAAAUAUUCUACUACAGUUUUUCUGGGAGUGAGUUUAUGUACGGUGAAAAAUGUUGGAAGUUUUGUUUUGCUGUUGUCAUGAAGUUUUGUUAUUGUGUGGGAGAAGAAAGGCAUUUUCCAUCCCGGUACUACAUACUUUCGCCUCUUCGUCCUGCCUGACCUCUAUACACCACACACACACACACACACACACACACACACACACACACACACACACACACACACACACACAAGCCAAUAAAGCAAGGGUUUAUGUAGAACUGCACGAGCAUGGGAGCCAAACGUUAAGAGGACAUAGUAAUAAACUUAAUGAGGCGAAUAAGAGUGUGUGAUGUAAAGACAUAUCGUAGUUUUUCGAGGAAUUUAAUGUACCAGUGGAAUAAUUAUUAGGAAAAAGUGGUGCUUAGAAACAGUACUAUACGUGAACUUAAAGGAAAGUAUGAGGAUAUUAAAAAAGGAAAAAAAAAAAUGCAACACUAAGAUUGACUCGUGUAAAGAUGAAAGCAAAAACAAACACACACGCACCCCCCCCCACAUACACACACGUUUCUCAAUCCUUCACGUUGCCACAGAGGAAAGGUUUUGAUCCCCCAUUCUGCUGAGUACAACUGAAACGACUGAGCUGACACUGGAAAAUGUGGGCCGAGCGAGACUUCAUAUUUUCUCCUCCCCUUCCUGCCACUGUGGAUGUACAACUUGUAAAGGAAAUCAACGACCACAAAUAUUUUACUAUCUUCCUCUCUCUCUCUCUCUCUCUCUCUCUCUC
Molecule: long non-coding RNA, 1539 nt
Organism: Portunus trituberculatus (swimming crab)
Lineage: Eukaryota; Metazoa; Arthropoda; Malacostraca; Decapoda; Portunidae
Exons: 3
Source: RefSeq, a predicted model, not a curated record